GCCAGGCAUAUGGUGUUAUGCACCUAUAGUUUCAGCUACUCAAAAGGGUGAGGCAGGAGCAUCACUUGAGCCCACGAGUUCUGGGCUAUCAUGGACUAUGCCAACUCAGUGUCUGCACUAAUUUAGGCAUCAACAUGGUGACCUCCCAGACAUGGGGGACCACCAGGUUGCCAAAGGAGGAGGGGUGAACCUGUCCAAGUUGGAAACAGAGCAGGUCAGCACUCCUGUGCUGAUCAGUAGUGGCAUUACAUCCAGCCCCUGCACUUCAGUGUGGGCAACAUAGCAAAACACC
Molecule: unclassified non-coding RNA, 292 nt
Organism: Otolemur garnettii (small-eared galago)
Lineage: Eukaryota; Metazoa; Chordata; Mammalia; Primates; Galagidae
Rfam family: Metazoan signal recognition particle RNA
About the family: The signal recognition particle (SRP) is a universally conserved ribonucleoprotein. It is involved in the co-translational targeting of proteins to membranes.
Source: Ensembl